UACGUAGGGGGCAAGCGUUGUCCGGAUUUAUUGGGCGUAAAGAGCGUGUAGGCGGUUUGGUAGGUCCGCUGUGAAAACUCGAGGCUCAACCUCGAGACGCCGGUGGAAACCAUCAGGCUAGAGUCCGGAAGAGGAGAGUGGAAUUCCUGGUGUAGCGGUGAAAUGCGCAGAUAUCAGGAGGAACACCAAUGGCGAAGGCAGCUCGCUGGGACGGUACUGACGCUGAGACGCGAAAGCCGUGGGGAGCAAACAGG
This 254-nucleotide ribosomal RNA is filed under the name uncultured bacterium. RNAcentral describes it as "partial 16S ribosomal RNA". It matches the Rfam family "Bacterial small subunit ribosomal RNA", at positions 524 to 776 of the family's 1533-position model. The record is from RNAcentral.